UUUGUGUGACCCGUCAACGCAUGCCCUUGGACGUGCACACAGCACACUGAGGAAAAUAUCCGGUGUUUGGAACCCUGCUUCUGGUCCUCAUGGUGCGCUGGAUCUUCUUAUAAGUACGCCAUUGGCAUUGCUUCCAAGCACAGCGAAAACACAAGCACGUCCUUCCUUCAAAAAUGGCCCUCGUCAAGAACGUGGUCUCGUUCCUGUGCGUGAUCGUGGCGUCGCUCGCGUUCGCCGUGCAGGCCGUGCUCGCCGCCAGAGGCCUCGCCCCAGCCACCGGUGCUUUAAGCAGCAUGAAUUACACGGUUGAUCCGCCUAAUCCCCCUUGUGUAAUUGGUGUUACUUACUGUUCGAGCGGCCCACCCGCACAUUAGUAUCCGUGAAGAUAUAGGCGGCCUGGGAACCACACUUGGAGGCAGGUUGGAGCUUGGAGAUCGAUACAAGUACUGUCCAAGCAUGAAUAAAUUAGCUACUGAACACUAGUCUUUGUUGUUGAUACAAGCAUAGCGAUGUGAGACUAUCUAUCGUUGUGUUUCCCUUUUUGAAUAAACGCCAGACAGCGCCACGUGAUUAUCUAUAAUACCAGGAGAAGAAAAGCCAUGCCGUGUUUACGCGGUACAUUUCUCUUUCUCUGUGUGUUGGUGUUGUAUCUCGCAACAAGUAAUAUGUGUUUUAAGUGUCUCCA
Molecule: long non-coding RNA, 685 nt
Organism: Triticum urartu
Lineage: Eukaryota; Viridiplantae; Streptophyta; Magnoliopsida; Poales; Poaceae
Source: RefSeq, a predicted model, not a curated record